Molecule: ribosomal RNA, 496 nt
Filed under: uncultured bacterium
Lineage: Bacteria
Description: partial 16S ribosomal RNA
Rfam family: Bacterial small subunit ribosomal RNA
Source: RNAcentral
GAUGAACGCUGGCGGCGUGCCUAAUACAUGCAAGUCGAGCGAACAGACGAGGAGCUUGCUCCUCUGACGUUAGCGGCGGACGGGUGAGUAACACGUGGAUAACCUACCUAUAAGACUGGGAUAACUUCGGGAAACCGGAGCUAAUACCGGAUAAUAUAUUGAACCGCAUGGUUCAAUAGUGAAAGACGGUUUUGCUGUCACUUAUAGAUGGAUCCGCGCCGCAUUAGCUAGUUGGUAAGGUAACGGCUUACCAAGGCGACGAUGCGUAGCCGACCUGAGAGGGGGAUCGGCCACACUGGAACUGAGACACGGCCCAGACUCCUACGGGAGGCAGCAGUAGGGAAUCUUCCGCAAUGGGCGAAAGCCUGACGGAGCAACGCCGCGUGAGUGAUGAAGGUCUGCGGAUCGUAAAACUCUGUUAUUAGGGAAGAACAAAUGUGUAAGUAACGAUGCACGUCUUGACGGUACCUAAUCAGAAAGCCACGGCUAACUACGU